This is a non-coding RNA of Schizosaccharomyces pombe (fission yeast), 857 nucleotides long. The record is from the annotation of a GenBank genome assembly. NCBI's taxonomy places the organism in Eukaryota, Fungi, Ascomycota, Schizosaccharomycetes, Schizosaccharomycetales, Schizosaccharomycetaceae.
GUAUAUAUUAGAAAAAAUAAGGCAAUGAACGAUACAAUGAUAAAACUAAUUUUUGAUAAGCCCAAAGAAUCACAGUAAAUUGCAAUAAUAUACAAUUAACGCUUGAUUACGAAUUUUCCGUCUCAGGACCAGAUUCAUGCUGAAUGUUUUCAAUUUGACUCAACAGCUGAACCAUUGUUAAGCCUUCCGGACCAUACAAAUAUCGCUUGCUAUACAAGUAGCUGCUUAUCGACAAUGGACGGAAUUGUAAAUAUCUUUGCAAUUCAUGGAGGAGUAUAGAGGACUCUUCAUGGCCUAUAAAUUCCGCUAAUUCAUCAAUGGUUUGUGGAUGUUGAAUAUUCUGAACUCGUAAGAGACCCAUCAAAAAGAUUUGUAUAAAGUUAAUUUGAUGUCCAUCUAAAUAUUCAAACAAGAGAAGUUCUUUAGCAAUAAAGCUUUCCACUUUCUUUAAUAAAGAUGCGCUAGAAGCUAGUUGGAUAGGAGUGGGUAUUUGAUAUUGCCUAUGUGAUGAAAGCGAGGGAUUUUCAUAGCUUUUCCAUGCCUUUUGAUAGAUGAAACGUCGUACGCGUAGCAAAUCGGCCAAUCUGUCAGUGUUUUCGCUGGAGGAAAAUGAAGGCUGCCGUAGUAAUUGUCGUGAAAUCGAAUACUGAUUUGACCCCAAAGAUUGAGUAUACCACUUCUUAUACAAACUUGACCCAUGAAAUCCAUAAAACACACAAUCUACGUGUCUCUUACAGAUGGGACAUGUCAAGGAUUGAUCCAUCCAGCGACAUAUGCAAGAAUAAUCGAACUGGUCAUGCCCACAUGGAGAUAGCUGUGCCCGAAGACCAUCUUUUUGUAAACAUAUAACGCAAUCU